RNAcentral lists this ribosomal RNA (460 nucleotides) under uncultured bacterium. RNAcentral's name for it is "partial 16S ribosomal RNA". It matches the Rfam family "Bacterial small subunit ribosomal RNA", at positions 338 to 795 of the family's 1533-position model. The record is from RNAcentral.
CCUACGGGUGGCAGCAGUGAGGAAUAUUGGUCAAUGGACGAGAGUCUGAACCAGCCAAGUAGCGUGAAGGAUGACUGCCCUAUGGGUUGUAAACUUCUUUUAUAUGGGAAUAAAAUGUUCCACGUGUGGGAUUUUGUAUGUACCAUAUGAAUAAGGAUCGGCUAACUCCGUGCCAGCAGCCGCGGUAAUACGGAGGAUCCGAGCGUUAUCCGGAUUUAUUGGGUUUAAAGGGAGCGUAGGUGGAUUGUUAAGUCAGUUGUGAAAGUUUGCGGCUCAACCGUAAAAUUGCAGUUGAAACUGGCAGUCUUGAGUACAGUAGAGGUGGGCGGAAUUCGUGGUGUAGCGGUGAAAUGCUUAGAUAUCACGAAGAACUCCGAUUGCGAAGGCAGUUCACUGGACUGCAACUGACACUGAGGCUCGAAAGUGUGGGUAUCAAACAGGAUUAGAUACCUUAGUAGUC